GACGAACGCUGGCGGCGUGCUUAACACAUGCAAGUCGAACGGAAAGGCCUUUUCGGAGGUACUCGAGUGGCGAACGGGUGAGUAACACGUGGGUGAUCUGCCCUGCACUCUGGGAUAAGCCUGGGAAACUGGGUCUAAUACCGGAUAGGACCGCCCUUUAGUGUGUGUGGUGGAAAGUUUUUUCGGUGUAGGAUGAGCCCGCGGCCUAUCAGCUUGUUGGUGGGGUAAUGGCAUACCAAGGCGGCGACGGGUAGCCGGACUGAGAGGUUGGUCGGACACAUUGGGACUGAGAUACGGCCCAGACGCCUACGGGAGGCAGCAGUGGGGAAUAUUGCACAAUGGGCGCAAGCCUGAUGCAGCGACGCCGCGUGGGGGAUGACGGCCUUCGGGUUGUAAACUCCUUUCGCCAGGGACGAAGCGUUUUGUGACGGUACCUUGAGAAGAAGCACCGGCUAACUACGUG
RNAcentral lists this ribosomal RNA (463 nucleotides) under uncultured bacterium. RNAcentral's name for it is "partial 16S ribosomal RNA". It matches the Rfam family "Bacterial small subunit ribosomal RNA", at positions 28 to 507 of the family's 1533-position model. The record is from RNAcentral.